Pelobates cultripes (western spadefoot toad) is the source of this 132-nucleotide non-coding RNA. NCBI's taxonomy places the organism in Eukaryota, Metazoa, Chordata, Amphibia, Anura, Pelobatidae. The record is from the annotation of a GenBank genome assembly.
ACUCGUGUGUGUGUGUGUGUGUGUGUGUGUGUGUGUAUGUAUGUAUGUGUGUAUAUAUAUAUAUAUUUAUAUAUAUAUAUAUAUAUACGCGUACACACACUCACACACACUUACAGACACACACACAUAUAU